This 1044-nucleotide long non-coding RNA is filed under the name Athene cunicularia (burrowing owl). Its description in RNAcentral is "lncRNA (ENSACUG00000001261.1)". The record is from RNAcentral. Lineage: Eukaryota; Metazoa; Chordata; Aves; Strigiformes; Strigidae.
AAACCUUAGUGCUGUGCCAGAGCCCCGUAACAUUCCUCUGGAUCUUUUCUGCAAUCGAACAUAUGCUUCUGAUCCUGAAAUGGAGCAAGUUGUCAUGCUGACAGUGGUUGGAAUGGACGCUAUGAAGAGUGCCGGAGAGCUCCUUCACCAGAUCCUUCUUCCUGGGUCCAAUAAUCAGUCUUGGAGUGCAGAAGGACCCGAUUUGGGAUUUGAGCUCCUAGGUCUCAAGUGGUUGCCCCAUCUCACUCGACGUCAGGCCAGAGAAAUAACCCCUUUUGAGGUUGGAGAUACUUCCUGGCAAAGAAGCCUUGAUAUACUAAUGUCAAACCCAGUCCUUGUGUGUGCAUUACGGAGGAUCAAUGCCUUCAAAGUUCUUGCAGAUGCAUUGGAGAGAUUAACGCAGUGCAGGGAGAAGCCAAGCAAAAGUGGCAGUCAGCUACAGACAAUAAUGGCCAUGACCCCAGAGGUGACGUUCAGACAAGCCAUCCUCUUCUUUACAGAGACAGAUUUUGUUACUGAUGCAGAACACCGCCCUGCUAUGAAAUACCUGCCACCACCUGGCAAGAGGUCCAGGGCUAAUGUGGGAGAGAUCCAGAGAUGCCCUGCAGAAUCACUGUUUACCUACUUGCAAACAGGAGCCCAGAUUCUUUGCACAGUGCUGCUGAUCAAACCUGGUGCCUGGAGCCGUCGUUUUCCAAGGAUCCUCCAGAAACUAGACCUAGAAAAAUUCCGUGUGGUUGGGAUGAAACACAUAAACCUGGAACCAGACACUGCCUUAGGACUACUUUCUUCCGAAGUGAAACAGGAUCCUGCUGUUUUAGAAGCUCAUUGUACCUACCUUACCUCAGGCACUGCACUUGUGCUGUGUCUUCAGAGGCCAAAUGCUGUGAAGAAGCUGAUAGAUUUACUGGGGCCAGAGGAUCCUAAACUAGCCCAAGCACUAGAUCCGCUCCUCUGGAGGGCUCAGUAUGGCAUCAGCACAGUCCAGAAUGGAUUUUAUGGUAGGUUUUUGUAAAAGAAAAGUCCAAAGACUCAGAUAUGCCA